GACGAACGCUGGCGGCGUGCUUAACACAUGCAAGUCGAGCGAUGAAAUCCCUUCGGGGAUGGAUUAGCGGCGGACGGGUGAGUAACACGUGGGUAACCUGCCUCAAAGAGGGGGAUAGCCUCCCGAAAGGGAGAUUAAUACCGCAUAACAUUAGUUUUUCGCAUGGAGGACUAAUUAAAGGAGUAAUCCGCUUUGAGAUGGACCCGCGGCGCAUUAGCUAGUUGGUGAGGUAACGGCUCACCAAGGCGACGAUGCGUAGCCGACCUGAGAGGGUGAUCGGCCACAUUGGAACUGAGACACGGUCCAGACUCAUACGGGAGGCAGCAGUGGGGAAUAUUGCACAAUGGGCGAAAGCCUGAUGCAGCAACGCCGCGUGAGUGAUGAAGGCCUUCGGGUUGUAAAGCUCUGUCUUUUGGGACGAUAAUGACGGUACCAAAGGAGGAAGCCACGGCUAACUACGUGCCAGCAGCCGCAGUAA
Molecule: ribosomal RNA, 478 nt
Filed under: uncultured bacterium
Lineage: Bacteria
Description: partial 16S ribosomal RNA
Rfam family: Bacterial small subunit ribosomal RNA
Source: RNAcentral